Long non-coding RNA from Ornithodoros turicata, 1567 nucleotides. RefSeq lists it as uncharacterized. Lineage: Eukaryota; Metazoa; Arthropoda; Arachnida; Ixodida; Argasidae. The record is from RefSeq and is a predicted model, not a curated record. The transcript is spliced from 3 exons.
AUCGACUGCUUGUGUUUGUAGCGAACAUUUGCAUGAUUGCCAUUACGAAGGGGACGCGGAAUCUCUUCAACGUACUGGAUAGCGAGCCCAGUGUCGUUUGAAUCAAGGUGUAGCACCAUCACAGUACGUGUCCACACCGGGGAAAGACCAUCCACCUAAACCGUGCAAAAGUGAUUGCGUAACUGGGUUCAUUCUCAUCUGACUUGGUGUGCGUAUUGUCAUCAAGCAAGAUAACUACCUAUGGCCGCUGACGGCACACAAGAGCGAGAGAGUAAAACAAAGACAAAAUAGAAGUUACCGAAUCUAACCACUAAACUCAGGUAACUUGCUCCGCGGACCCUGAAACACCCGAGCAGAAACACCAUGAUCACUGCAACCCACUAUUCAGAGCAGACCAAUGUUGUGCAGCCUCCAUCCAGGUUUCCUUUUUGCAGCAUCGUCUUGCCUACCAUUCGGGCCCUGUGUGUUGUUCAUAAGUUAUUUUCUUAUUAUUAUUUGAUUUCAGUCUUCUUCAUCAUGAGCUCAAAUAUGAUAAUGACGGGGACAUUUUAUUGUUUACACCUGAAUAAGCUAGGAUGCUUUUAAGAGGGGCACACUUUUGUUCCUUGCCUUAUAAUCACUACUCAGUUGUAUCGCUACAUACAUUUACAUUCACUGGAACCGGAGUUUCAUACUGUGUUAUUCAUUUUCUCCUCUUAAACCAGGGUGGCAGCUGGAGUCUUUCACGAGGGUAACAUGCCAGAACAACACCAGCAAGUGCUCUGCAGUUCACCUCUAAAAUAAAUAAACCCAAGUCUGAUGCACUAUGCCCUCACGAGAUUUUGUUCCUGCUACAACUCUGCACUUUGUUUUACAUUACCAAAAAUAACCUUACCAACCAUUACCAUACCAUUGGUGCUCUGCUGUGUUCAACCAGUUCAACAUGCUCUGGGCGUCCCGUAAAGCCUGUGCAGCGACUUCAGCCCUUAUUUGGUCGUAACACUGGUGCCAAUACAGCUGCGUGACAGUGUAAAAUAGAAUACAUCCCGUGUCUGCAUAUGUAUACAAAUUAUGCAUGUGUCGCCUAUAAUACGUAUAUGUAAAUGUUAUAGUUAUUAGGUCUUAUGUAUUUUAGUGAUGGUACUAUUUGAACUAAAUGCCGACAUUUCAGCUGUUUGAGCCUGGUGCCCUCAUCCUUGACACAUAUACAAGUGGGUCCACAUCCUCGGUGAAGCCUGCACAGCUGAGGACUCUGUCCAGGUGGCAAAUUGAACAGUUAUUUUACAAAGAAGGCAGAUUUCCGCCAGAUGAGUAAAAAGCAGUUUAUCUGGAAUAGUACCAAUUGCUUCUCGUUUUUCUUUUUUAUUGAAAAUAUAGGGCAUGUUAUCUGACUACUGGGGCUUUUCGCUUCUUUCCAGGUACCUCAACUGGUGUCUUCAAGCUUAUGUAACACAAUAAUAUAAGGUGGCAAUGAAGCAGGCGAGCUGGUGUCGUUAGUUUGUGUCCUCAGUCUCGGGGUUAUGGACGUAUUCAUGGUAUAGGAAACCAGGUUGAACAAUAAAUUUGUUAAACAAUAAACAGUUCUCGA